UCGAGCGGAAACGAGUUAUUUGAACCUUCGGGGGACAAUAACGGCGUCGAGCGGCGGACGGGUGAGUAAUGCCUGGGAAUAUGCCUUGAUGUGGGGGAUAACCAUUGGAAACGAUAGCUAAUACCGCAUAAUGCCUUCGGGCCAAAGAGGGGGACCUUCGGGCCUCUCGCGUCAAGAUUAGCCCAGGUGGGAUUAGCUAGUUGGUGAGGUAAUGGCUCACCAAGGCAACGAUCCCUAGCUGGUCUGAGAGGAUGAUCAGCCACACUGGAACUGAGACACGGUCCAGACUCCUACGGGAGGCAGCAGUGGGGAAUAUUGCACAAUGGGCGCAAGCCUGAUGCAGCCAUGCCGCGUGUGUGAAGAAGGCCUUCGGGUUGUAAAGCACUUUCAGUAGGGAGGAAGGUGUUGUCGUUAAUAACGGCAUCAUUUGACGUUACCUACAGAAGAAGCACCGGCUAACUCCGUGCCAGCAGCCGCGGUAAUACGGAGGGUGCGAGCGUUAAUCGGAAUUACUGGGCGUAAAGCGCAUGCAGGUGGUGAGUUAAGUCAGAUGUGAAAGCCCGGGGCUCAACCUCGGAACUGCAUUUGAAACUGGCUUACUAGAGUACUGUAGAGGGGGGUAGAAUUUCAGGUGUAGCGGUGAAAUGCGUAGAGAUCUGAAGGAAUACCGGUGGCGAAGGCGGCCCCCUG
Molecule: ribosomal RNA, 690 nt
Filed under: uncultured bacterium
Lineage: Bacteria
Description: bacterial SSU rRNA
Rfam family: Bacterial small subunit ribosomal RNA
Source: RNAcentral